Molecule: microRNA precursor, 204 nt
Organism: Oryza sativa Japonica Group (Japanese rice)
Lineage: Eukaryota; Viridiplantae; Streptophyta; Magnoliopsida; Poales; Poaceae
Rfam family: MIR812 microRNA precursor family
Source: Rfam
AAUAAGUGCAGCCAUGAGUUUUCGCGCUCAACUUUGAUCAUCCGUCUUAUUUAAAAUUUUUUUAUAAUUAGCAAUUUUGUUGUUAUAAGAUAAUAAAACAUGAAUAGUACUUUACUCGUGACUUAUGUUUUUAAUUUUUUUUAAAAUUUUUCAAAUAAGACGAAUAAUUAAAGUUGGACACUGAAAACCAUGGCUGCACUUAUU